AAAUAAAUAAAUAAAAUGGUGCUUCAAGGAGUACUAUAGAUGAGAGAGCUAAGAUUCUAGAACACUCUAGAGAUAGUUGUGGGAAGAGAGCUCAGUUACUCUUCGUAUAUCUAUGUGUAUGUCACUUUCUUUUUUUGUUGUACAACUCCCAAGGUCGCAUCCUGAGUCUCAGCUGGCAUCCCUCUGGUACCCACAUUGCAGCUGGUUCCAUAGACUACAUUAGUGUGUUUGAUGUCAAAUCAGGCAGCGCUGUUCAUAAGAUGAUUGUGGACAGGCAGUAUAUGGGCGUGUCUAAGCGGAAGUGCAUCGUGUGGGGUGUCGCCUUCUUGUCCGAUGGCACUAUCAUAAGUGUGGACUCUGCUGGGAAGGUGCAGUUCUGGGACUCAGCCACUGGGACGCUUGUGAAGAGCCAUCUCAUCGCUAAUGCUGACGUGCAGUCCAUUGCUGUAGCUGACCAAGAAGACAGUUUCGUGGUGGGCACAGCCGAGGGAACAGUCUUCCAUUUUCAGCUGGUCCCUGUGACAUCUAACAGCAGUGAGAAGCAGUGGGUGCG
RNAcentral lists this small RNA (553 nucleotides) under Pan troglodytes (chimpanzee). RNAcentral's name for it is "retained intron". Lineage: Eukaryota; Metazoa; Chordata; Mammalia; Primates; Hominidae. The record is from RNAcentral.